AGAGCGAACGCUGGCGGCAGGCCUAACACAUGCAAGUCGAACGGACUCUUCGGAGUUAGUGGCGGACGGGUGAGUAACACGUGGGAACGUGCCUUUAGGUUCGGAAUAGCUCCUGGAAACGGGUGGUAAUACCGAAUGUGCCCUUCGGGGGAAAGAUUUAUCGCCUUUAGAGCGGCCCGCGUCUGAUUAGCUUGUUGGUGAGGUAAUGGCUCACCAAGGCUACGAUCAGUAGCUGGUCUGAGAGGAUGACCAGCCACAUUGGGACUGAGACACGGCCCAAACUCCUACGGGAGGCAGCAGUGGGGAAUCUUGCGCAAUGGGCGAAAGCCUGACGCAGCCAUGCCGCGUGUAUGAUGAAGGUCUUAGGAUUGUAAAAUACUUUCACCGGUUGAAGAUAAUGACUGUAGCCGGAAGAAGAAGCCCCGGAUAACUUCGUGCCAGCAGCCGC
This 448-nucleotide ribosomal RNA is filed under the name uncultured soil bacterium. Its description in RNAcentral is "bacterial SSU rRNA". It matches the Rfam family "Bacterial small subunit ribosomal RNA", at positions 26 to 518 of the family's 1533-position model. The record is from RNAcentral.